Molecule: ribosomal RNA, 447 nt
Filed under: uncultured bacterium
Lineage: Bacteria
Description: partial 16S ribosomal RNA
Rfam family: Bacterial small subunit ribosomal RNA
Source: RNAcentral
AUUGAACGCUGGCGGCAGGCCUAACACAUGCAAGUCGAACGCACCGCAAGGUGAGUGGCGCACGGGUGAGUAACACGUGGGAAUGUACCCUUUGGUUCGGAAUAACGUCUGGAAACGGACGCUAAUACCGGAUGAGCCCUACGGGGGAAAGAUUUAUCGCCAAAGGAGCAGCCCGCGUCUGAUUAGCUAGUUGGUGGGGUAAAGGCCUACCAAGGCGACGAUCAGUAGCUGGUCUGAGAGGAUGACCAGCCACAUUGGGACUGAGACACGGCCCAAACUCCUACGGGAGGCAGCAGUGGGGAAUCUUGCGCAAUGGGCGAAAGCCUGACGCAGCCAUGCCGCGUGGAUGAUGAAGGUCUUAGGAUUGUAAAAUCCUUUCACCGGUGAAGAUAAUGACUGUAGCCGGAGAAGAAGCCCCGGCUAACUUCGUGCCAGCCGCCGCAGUAA